RNAcentral lists this transfer RNA (86 nucleotides) under Gammaproteobacteria bacterium. Its description in RNAcentral is "tRNA-Leu". It matches the Rfam family "tRNA". From Rfam's summary of the family: Transfer RNA (tRNA) molecules are approximately 80 nucleotides in length. The record is from RNAcentral. Lineage: Bacteria; Pseudomonadati; Pseudomonadota; Gammaproteobacteria.
GCGAAAGUGGCGGAAUUGGUAGACGCGCUGGCUUUAGGUGCCAGUGGGAUUAUCCCGUGAGAGUUCGAGUCUCUCCUUUCGCACCA